RNAcentral lists this long non-coding RNA (858 nucleotides) under Mus pahari (shrew mouse). Its description in RNAcentral is "lncRNA (MGP_PahariEiJ_G0003077.1)". The record is from RNAcentral. Lineage: Eukaryota; Metazoa; Chordata; Mammalia; Rodentia; Muridae.
AAUAAUCUCCACCCCCUGCCGAGGCUUCAACAUUAUAUCUAUCCCUCCUUGCUCUAGCGGGCAGCAGGAAGCACAGCACCGCCAGCUACCACGCAGACAUCCUGGGGAACUGAGCCUGCCUCCGGGUUCCUGCCUUGAGGUCCUGUCCAGGCUUCUCCCCAUGAUGAACUCCGAUGGGGAUACAUAAGCUGAAAUAAAUCUUCCGCUCUGCUGCUUUUGGUCAGUAUUUUUAUCACAGCGGGAGAAAGGAAACUUGGACAGAUAUUCAUCAGCUGUACAAAGAGAAAAGGCAUCAACUGCUGGAAGCUGUGCUCCUUGGGUCAUGGGCACUACUUCCCACAACAUCCACUGGCUUUGCAUGGAGACUCUGGACCUUCAGAGCGGUGCCCGGUUUUGCCACAUGGAUACAGUGCUUGUGAUUAAAACUAAGUAGUAGGCCUGGAUCUGUCGCUUUCCCCCUUGCUGUGAGGAAAUCCCUGAGAAAGAUAACUUAAGGAAGGAGGGGUUUGCACUAGCAGCUGGAGUGAGAGGCGGCCGGCCACAGGACGUGGCGCCUGCAAUCAGGAAGCAGAGAGAGAGGUCUAAAACCCCCAGCCCACAGAGUGCACCUUCUGCCUUAGGAUGAGUCUUCCUGCCUCAGUUUACCGAGUUUAGAAACUCCCUUACAGAUAUGCCCAGAGAUAUGUCUCCAUGGUGAUUCUAGACCCCGACAAGUUGACAGUAUUAACCACCACAGGGGUUAACUGCUAGAGACCCUGAGAGCACACACUUGAUCUGCUUUGUAAAUACACCAUUAGGUUGCCUGAAAUAAUGUAGUCAGAGGUCAACCCUGGAUACCAUUAAAGUUGUUCUCCUUUU